RNAcentral lists this ribosomal RNA (460 nucleotides) under uncultured bacterium. RNAcentral describes it as "partial 16S ribosomal RNA". It matches the Rfam family "Bacterial small subunit ribosomal RNA", at positions 338 to 795 of the family's 1533-position model. The record is from RNAcentral.
CCUACGGGAGGCAGCAGUGAGGAAUAUUGGUCAAUGGGCGAGAGCCUGAACCAGCCAAGUAGCGUGAAGGAGGACUGCCCUACGGGUUGUAAACUUCUUUUAUAAAGGAAUAAAGUGAGGCCCGUGUGCCUUGUUGUAUGUACUGUAUGAAUAACGAUCGGCGAACUCCGUGCCGUCAGCGGAGGUAAUAAGGAGGAUACGAGCGUUAUCCGGAUUUAUUGGGUUUAAAGGGAGAUGAGAGGGGUUGUUAAGUCAGUUGUGAAAGUUUGCGGCUUAACCGUAAAAUUGAAAUUGAUACUGGCAGUCUUGAGUACAGGUGAGGUAGGCGGAAUUCGUGGUGUAGCGGUGAAAUGCUUAGAUAUCACGAAGAACUCCGAUUGCGAAGGCAGCUUACUAAACUGCCACUGACAUUGAUGCUCGAAAGCGUGGGUAUCAAACAGGAUUAGAUACCCGUGUAGUC